GGAUUGCUCAAUCAGUAGAACAUUAGACUCUUAAUCUCAGGGUUGUGGGUUUGAGUCCCAGGUUGGACA
Podarcis lilfordi (Lilford's wall lizard) is the source of this 69-nucleotide non-coding RNA. The record is from the annotation of a GenBank genome assembly. Lineage: Eukaryota; Metazoa; Chordata; Lepidosauria; Squamata; Lacertidae.